UACAGAGGUCCCGAGCGUUGUUCGGAUUUACUGGGCGUAAAGGGUGCGUAGGCGGCGGAGUAAGUUGGGUGUGAAAUCCCGGGGCUCAACCUCGGAAUUGCAUUCAAUACUGCUUCGCUCGAGUACUGGAGAGGAGGCUGGAAUUUACGGUGUAGCAGUGAAAUGCGUAGAUAUCGUAAGGAAGGCCGGUGGCGAAAGCGAGCCUCUGGACAGUUACUGACGCUGAUGCACGAAGGCCAGGGGAGCAAACGGG
This 253-nucleotide ribosomal RNA is filed under the name uncultured bacterium. Its description in RNAcentral is "partial 16S ribosomal RNA". It matches the Rfam family "Bacterial small subunit ribosomal RNA", at positions 524 to 776 of the family's 1533-position model. The record is from RNAcentral.